GCAAGUCGAACGAGAAAGUCACUUCGGUGGCGAGUAGAGUGGCGCACGGGUGAGUAACGCGUAGAUGAUGUGCCUUUUAGUUGGGGACAACCUCGUGAAAACGGGGCUAAUACCGAAUAAGUUUACUGAAAUUGAAAAAAGUAAAGAAAGGGGGCUUCGGCUCUCGCUAGAAGAUCGGUCUGCGUAGCAUUAGCUUGUUGGUGGGGUAAUGGCCUACCAAGGCUUCGAUGCUUAACUGGUCUGAGAGGAUGAUC
RNAcentral lists this ribosomal RNA (254 nucleotides) under uncultured bacterium. Its description in RNAcentral is "partial 16S ribosomal RNA". It matches the Rfam family "Bacterial small subunit ribosomal RNA", at positions 57 to 305 of the family's 1533-position model. The record is from RNAcentral.